RNAcentral lists this non-coding RNA (315 nucleotides) under Medicago truncatula (barrel medic). The record is from RNAcentral. Lineage: Eukaryota; Viridiplantae; Streptophyta; Magnoliopsida; Fabales; Fabaceae.
AAAAAAGAAAAAAAAAUGAUGGUUCAAUGGCUAGGCUCACCAGGCCAUAUGGGCUGAGAAUACUGCAGCCUGUGAUCCCUCCACUGUCAAGAGAAGGAAGUGUUCACUGCUCUGUGAAACCAGCCUCAUGCGGAUCCCUCCGUUCUAGUGACCAGGAGAUCUGAGCCUUCGCCCAAAUCCCAUGGCCCAACUCUCAACUUGGAGUGGGCAGGCCAGCAUAAUGUACCCUACAGCCCAACCUGUUAAGACACAAUCAUGUUCCAUCACCUUGUUGCUCCCACAUGGGUUACAAGUUGGUGUAAAUCAACUCAGCGA